This 468-nucleotide ribosomal RNA is filed under the name uncultured bacterium. Its description in RNAcentral is "partial 16S ribosomal RNA". It matches the Rfam family "Bacterial small subunit ribosomal RNA", at positions 28 to 507 of the family's 1533-position model. The record is from RNAcentral.
GACGAACGCUGGCGGCGUGCUUAACACAUGCAAGUCGAACGGAAAGGCCCUGCUUUUGUGGGGUGCUCGAGUGGCGAACGGGUGAGUAACACGUGAGUAACCUGCCCUUGACUUUGGGAUAACUUCAGGAAACUGGGGCUAAUACCGGAUAGGAGCUCCUGCUGCAUGGUGGGGGUUGGAAAGUUUCGGCGGUUGGGGAUGGACUCGCGGCUUAUCAGCUUGUUGGUGGGGUAGUGGCUUACCAAGGCUUUGACGGGUAGCCGGCCUGAGAGGGUGACCGGCCACAUUGGGACUGAGAGACGGCGCAGACUCCUACGGGAGGCAGCAGUGGGGAAUAUUGCAGAAUGGGCGGAAGCCUGAUGCGGCAACGCCGCGUGCGGGAUGACGGCCUUCGGGUUGUAAACCGCUUUCGCCUGUGACGAAGCGUGAGUGACGGUAAUGGGUAAAGAAGCACCGGCUAACUACGUG